GUGGCGUAUCUCAACUCAACCUGGCGGCUGUGUUGUGAUGGGACUCAGAGGGAGUGAUGGAACCUGUUCUGUGGUUGGGUGGUUGAAGGGGUGGGGGCGAGGCUAUGUGUACCUGUCAGAGACGUGUCAAGGUGGGAAAGCUGAGCUCACCUGGAUAGUGAAGUCUGCCGUUCCAACAGCCUGGUCAGGCCUCACCCUGAGUCGCUCAUUAAGAUAACAUGAUUGAGGUAGUGCUGUUUAAGGCCUCACCCUGCUUCGCUCAUUAAGAUAACAUGAUUGAGGUAGUGCUGUUUAAGGCCUCACCCUGCUUCGCUCAUUAAGAUAACAUGAUUGAGGUAGUGCUGUUUAAGGCCUCACCCUGCUUCGCUCAUUAAGAUAACAUGAUUGAGGUAGUGCUGUUUAAGGCCUCACCCUGCUUCGCUCAUUAAGAUAACAUGAUUGAGGUAGUGCUGUUUAAGGCCUCACCAUGCGUCGCUCAUUAAGAUAACAUGAUUGAGGUAGUGCUGUUUAAGGCCUCACCCUGCUUCGCUCAUUAAGAUAACAUGAUUGAGGUAGUGCUGUUUAAGGCCUCACCAUGCGUCGCUCAUUAAGAUAACAUGAUUGAGGUAGUGCUGUUUAAGGCCUCACCAUGCAUCGCUCAUUAAGAUAACAUGAUUGAGGUAGUGCUGUUUAAGGCCUCACCCUGCUUCGCUCAUUAAGAUAACAUGAUUGAGGUAGUGCUGUUUAAGGCCUCACCCUGCUUCGCUCAUUAAGAUAACAUGAUUGAGGUAGUGCUGUUUCAGGCCUCACCCUGCGUCGCUCAUUAAGAUAACAUGACUGAGGUAGUGCUGUUUAAGGCCUCACCCUGCGUCGCUCAUUAAGAUAACAUGAUUGAGGUAGUGCUGUUUAAGGCCUCACCCUGCUUCGCUCAUUAAGAUAACAUGAUUGAGGUAGUGCUGUUUAAGGCCUCACCAUGCGUCGCUCAUUAAGAUAACAUGAUUGAGGUAGUGCUGUUUAAGGCCUCACCCUGAGUCGCUCAUUAAGAUAACAUGAUUGAGGUAGUGCUGUUUAAGGCCUCACCCUGCUUCGCUCAUUAAGAUAACAUGAUUGAGGUAGUGCUGUUUAAGGCCUCACCCUGCUUCGCUCAUUAAGAUAACAUGAUUGAGGUAGUGCUGUUUAAGGCCUCACCCUGCUUCGCUCAUUAAGAUAACAUGAUUGAGGUAGUGCUGUUUAAGGCCUCACCAUGCGUCGCUCAUUAAGAUAACAUGAUUGAGGUAGUGCUGUUUAAGGCCUCACCCUGCUUCGCUCAUUAAGAUAACAUGAUUGAGGUAGUGCUGUUUAAGGCCUCACCAUGCGUCGCUCAUUAAGAUAACAUGAUUGAGGUAGUGCUGUUUAAGGCCUCACCAUGCGUCGCUCAUUAAGAUAACAUGAUUGAGGUAGUGCUGUUUCAGGCCUCACCUGCUUCACUCAUUAAGAUAACAUGAUUGAGGUAGUGUUGUUUAAGGCCUCACCAUGCUCUCUCUGAUCAUUAGACUAAUAUCAUUGAGGUACUGUGUUUUGUCUAACAUGGAGGGAUAGCUUUAGACUCUGAAGGCUCUCUCUCCCCCUCUGUCUCUCUCAAAGACACCCACCAUCAUAUCAUGGAUCAAAUGUCUUUGUUGUGACAAUGCAGCAGACAUACUGUAGGAAAGACUCCUAAGAGGUGACAAGCCAAUUUGUCCAUCUCCUCAUCAUCAAUGUGGGAGGAAAGAACCUGCCAGCC
Oncorhynchus keta (chum salmon) is the source of this 1741-nucleotide long non-coding RNA. RefSeq lists it as uncharacterized. The record is from RefSeq and is a predicted model, not a curated record. NCBI's taxonomy places the organism in Eukaryota, Metazoa, Chordata, Actinopteri, Salmoniformes, Salmonidae. The transcript has 5 exons.